This 102-nucleotide small RNA is filed under the name Arabidopsis thaliana (thale cress). RNAcentral describes it as "ATSL277400". The record is from RNAcentral. Lineage: Eukaryota; Viridiplantae; Streptophyta; Magnoliopsida; Brassicales; Brassicaceae.
AUGAAGUAAGUUCAAUGCCCAGGUUCUUAGUUCUUUGUUGCAUAACCGAUUGUAUCUCUGAAGUAAGACUGCACCCUGCUUUGAAUUUGUAACUUGACUAUA